RNAcentral lists this ribosomal RNA (253 nucleotides) under uncultured bacterium. RNAcentral describes it as "partial 16S ribosomal RNA". It matches the Rfam family "Bacterial small subunit ribosomal RNA", at positions 524 to 776 of the family's 1533-position model. The record is from RNAcentral.
UACGUAGGUGGCAAGCGUUACUCGGAAUUACUAGGCGUAAAGCGCAGGUAGGUGGUUUGGUAAGUCUGCAAUGAAAUCUCCCGGCUUAACUGGGAGCGGUUUGUAGAUACUGCCAGGCUCGAGUGUGGGAGAGGUCACUGGAAUUCCUGGUGUAGCGGUGAAAUGCGUAGAUAUCAGGAGGAACACCAAUGGCGAAAGCAGGUGACUAGCCCAAUACUGACACUGAGCUGCGAAAGCUAGGGGAGCAAACAGG